GGGUGAGUAACGCGUGAGUAACCUGCCUUACACAAGGGGAUAGCCUCUGGAAACGGAGAAUAAUACCCUAUGAAACUAUCUUAUCGCAUGAAAAGAUAGUCAAAGUGUUUUAGCGGUGUAAGAUGGACUUGCGUCUGAUUAGUUAGUUGGUGAGAUAACAGCCCACCAAGGCAACGAUCAGUAGCCGGCUUGAGAGAGUGUACGGCCACAUUGGGACUGAGACACGGCCCAG
Molecule: ribosomal RNA, 232 nt
Filed under: uncultured Eubacteriales bacterium
Lineage: Bacteria; Bacillati; Bacillota; Clostridia; Eubacteriales
Description: uncultured Clostridiales bacterium partial 16S ribosomal RNA
Rfam family: Bacterial small subunit ribosomal RNA
Source: RNAcentral